CAACACCGCGUGAGUGAUGACGCCUUUUGGGGUGUAAAACUCUGUCAGGUGGGGACGAAGCCUGACGGUACCACAGAGGAAGCAUCGGCUAACUACGUGCCAGCAGCCGCGGUAAGACGUAGGAUGCAAGCGUUGUCCGGAAUUAUUGGGCGUAAAGAGUUCGUAGGCGGCAUAUCAAGUCUGGUGUUAAAGCCCGAGGCUCAACCUCGGAUCGGCACUGGAUACUGAUAAGCUAGAGUGCAGUAGAGGCAAGGGGAAUUCCCAGUGUAGCGGUGAAAUGCGUAGAUAUUGGGAGGAACACCAGUGGCGUAAGCGCCUUGCUGGGCUGUUACUGACGCUGAGGAACGAAAGCCAGGGGAGCAAAUGGGAUUAGAUACCCCAGUAGUCCUGGCCGUAAACGAUGGAUACUAGGUGUUGCGGGUAUCGACCCCUGCAGUGCCGCAGUUAACGCGAUAAGUAUCCCGCCUGGGGAGUACGCACGCAAGUGUG
Molecule: ribosomal RNA, 489 nt
Filed under: uncultured bacterium
Lineage: Bacteria
Description: bacterial SSU rRNA
Rfam family: Bacterial small subunit ribosomal RNA
Source: RNAcentral